GGGAGCUCUGCUGGUCACUUCAUGCUGCCAGGCAGCUCUCCCUGAGGGGCACAAACCCACCAUCUUCUGGGCUUUCUCCUUGGGGACAGAGCACCUGUGGGUCACCUUUCCUAUGGAAACCUAUCUGUUCCCAAACCAGUGCCAGCUAUUUACUGCAUAAGAUAGCCUUCGGGAAAAUCACAGAAGCAUCAGGGAGGGGAAGAGCAAUUCUUGUGUGAGCCCAUUUGUCAAGGCCUGGAAGAGGUCAGGAUUCCAUUAUAAAGCAGAGACCACAGUCAGCUGCAUUGGCAUCUGCAAAGGCAGAAGAUACCAAGAUAGGUGCAGUCCCAAGACUCAGUUUUAGGCCAGGGGAAAGAUUUUAGCAUCUUUUCUACACUCCAUAGAAGAUUGUGUGUCUUGGCAUGCCUGUUGGAAAAGUGCUGCAAGCAUCCAAGUCUGAAUGAGGCUCGUGGUGAGGAAACCAGACCUUCAAAUGGAGGAGAAGGGGUGAGAAUGGAAAUGUCUUCUUGGUCUUUUCUGUGGUACCUGAAGAUCCCCACCAACCUUUUGCAAGGCAGUGGACAACAAACCCUGACUGGAAAAAUACUGUAGUCUUUCUGAUGCUAGCAGAGAAACCCAGCAAAGUAUUGUCUUCUUCUGGGCUGCUUCAUGGCAUCUUCA
RNAcentral lists this long non-coding RNA (660 nucleotides) under Cyanistes caeruleus (blue tit). Its description in RNAcentral is "lncRNA (ENSCCEG00000009712.1)". Lineage: Eukaryota; Metazoa; Chordata; Aves; Passeriformes; Paridae. The record is from RNAcentral.